This 98-nucleotide transfer-messenger RNA is filed under the name Spongiibacteraceae bacterium. Its description in RNAcentral is "partial transfer-messenger RNA". It matches the Rfam family "transfer-messenger RNA", at positions 275 to 374 of the family's 374-position model. Rfam says of the family: Bacterial tmRNA, also known as 10Sa RNA or SsrA, is named for its dual tRNA and mRNA-like properties. Its role is to liberate the mRNA from a stalled ribosome. To accomplish this part of the tmRNA is used as a reading frame that ends in a translation stop signal. The record is from RNAcentral. Lineage: Bacteria; Pseudomonadati; Pseudomonadota; Gammaproteobacteria; Cellvibrionales; Spongiibacteraceae.
CGGGCUGUAUGCAGCUAAAUUAAUUGACGGAAUCUAAGCAUGUAGAGCACUAAGCAGCGGACUGACGGACGGGGGUUCAAUUCCCCCCGGCUCCACCA